GAAAUGUCAUUUUAACCAUCUUUGGAAAAUAUAAUCAGCAAGAGUGUUCCAGCAGAAAACAGAGUCACAACCAAAUUAGGAUAAUUCAAAGAGGCUUAACUAAGGCACUAGUGGAGUUCCCGUCGUGGCUCAGUGGUUAACGAAUCCGACUAGGAACCACGAGGUUGCAGCAUCAAUCCCUGGCCUUGCUCAGUGGGUUAAGGAUCCGGUGUUGCCGUGAGCUGUGGUGUAGGUUGCAAACGUGGCUCCGAUCCCGUGUUGCUGUGGCUGUGGCAUAGGCCAGUGGCUAUAGCUCCAAUUGGACCCCUAGCUUAGGAACCUCCAUAUGCUGUGGGAGCGGCCCAAGAAAUGGCAAAAAAGACAAAAAAAAAAAAAAAAAAGAAGAAGCUUAACCAAGGUACUAGUUAUGAAGAUAUAGGCAGGGCAUAGGGAAACAGAGACUAAUGUGUGACAAAGAAACUACUACACCCCUAUAAGGAAGGAACAAGAAGAAUAAGAGGUUACAGGACCUCAGGAGAGAAGAGUUCAGGAAGUGUUCCCUUGAGAGCACAAAUCCCACCCUCCCAGCCAGGGCUUUCCAUUGGCUGAACCCAACAGGACGUCCAAAGGCCCAGAGCCUACACUGAGCUGCCUCUGGGGAAGAGAGCAGAGUGAGGAAGAGCAGAGAGUACAUCUGGAGAGGCAAGCAGAAGAUACCCAGGUAUCCUCUGAGGACUGUGGAGAGAGGAUGCAGCCAGAGGCUGCUUUGCUAAGAGCACACGUGGAGGAGGAGAUUUUGCUCAUGGCUUCCUGGGAGGCUGUAGACCAAAGGCAGUGACCCUGAUCAGAAAACACUACUUUUUCUCUCCAGUGCAGAAAGGAGAGAAGACAAAAAUUUGGACCCAGAAAGAAGAAUCUCCCUCUCUCUCUCUCUCCAUGUCAAAUUAAAAGUAACUUCCACUUCUUGUGGUGGGAACUAUAAUCCUACUGAAAUUACAGCAGCAAAGCUGGGGGGCCUAUUACACUGUGCUCUGUCAGGGACGUGUGGUCCCUAGGAAACUAGCCAUUUAAGCAGC
RNAcentral lists this long non-coding RNA (1055 nucleotides) under Sus scrofa (pig). RNAcentral describes it as "lncRNA (ENSSSCG00015061587.1)". The record is from RNAcentral. Lineage: Eukaryota; Metazoa; Chordata; Mammalia; Artiodactyla; Suidae.